GCUAUGUCUUCUCUCAGGGAGAGUGACUAGUCUCGAGUCAUUGGUGUGUGUGACAUCAAGAUAAGUACGUAGGUGCUCAGUAGAGAAUGAGUUCACUGAACGCGAUCAACGAAGAGUUCUCCAUACUCAUGUCACAUGAGAACUCAUGGUUGGGAUAAUGCAAAAGUAGUCUUUUGACCUGAGGCAUCACAGUUGUCUUGUGGUUAAGUCCUUGAUCUUUGAUUAUGUCAAAGUCACCCCAUCGGGGUGUCCAUGGCAUCGUUGGGUUAAGCCACUUAACCAUGGAGGCAAGUGAAUGCGCAACAAGGGAUCUCUAACCUUCAAACUGUUUGAGGGAGAAUACUCUAUGAUAU
This 353-nucleotide long non-coding RNA is filed under the name Malus domestica (apple). RNAcentral describes it as "long non-coding RNA (MDOM_LNC020433)". Lineage: Eukaryota; Viridiplantae; Streptophyta; Magnoliopsida; Rosales; Rosaceae. The record is from RNAcentral.